UCAGGACGAUAAAAAUUAGCAAAAGCCAAUCCUCGAAAUAUUCCAUUGUCAUAGUGAUAAUUAAAGGCAUAAGGUCUGGGAAUACCUAGUUGCUUAAAAUGAUCCAACAAUGUAUCUUUCUCCAACGAGAAAGGAAUAUUUUUCACAACAAUAGCCGUUGGAAUGGUAUCUUCACCGGGUUCAACCGGUGUUGAAUUAGAAUUGGCAGUCGAUCCUGCUUUGAUUUGGGUACUGUUAAAAGCAUCCAACGAAGGCUCUGCGGAUGUAUCAGCUUUAUUGCCUUUUCCACUGGCAGAAAAGCUUUUACUUUCUGAAGAAGAUUCAGCACCACUAGGAGGAGAGACAUUGUGGAAAGCCAUAGCACUCGCCUCAUUUGCUGAAUUUGAGUUCCUGGACGAGAGGUACGGAGUUCCAAUAGAAUUGGCGCUGUUAAAAAGCGCGGAACCUUUAGAACUAUUUUCUAGCCCACCAAGCUGAGAAUAACCAAAAGUAGGAAAGCUAUCAGAAGGAGCCGGCGAUGCAGCACGACUACUAGCAAGAGAAAGGGCACCGGACCAUUUGGGGUACAGCGGAGCACUCGAACCGGAACCGCUUGUUUUCCUAGAAGCCUGAGGAGAACCAAUUGGCUGUAGCUUAGGAGAAUUCAAGGGUGAUUGUAAUCUUGAUAAUGCUUCAUGAUUUGAUUUUU
This is a non-coding RNA of Schizosaccharomyces pombe (fission yeast), 688 nucleotides long. Lineage: Eukaryota; Fungi; Ascomycota; Schizosaccharomycetes; Schizosaccharomycetales; Schizosaccharomycetaceae. The record is from the annotation of a GenBank genome assembly.